Cyanistes caeruleus (blue tit) is the source of this 190-nucleotide non-coding RNA. NCBI's taxonomy places the organism in Eukaryota, Metazoa, Chordata, Aves, Passeriformes, Paridae. The record is from RefSeq and is a predicted model, not a curated record.
CUGGGGACCCUGCACGGCCAUCCGCGAGGUGUCCCUGCUGCGGGACCUGAAGCACGCCAACGUGGUGACGCUGCACGACAUCGUGCACACCCCGCAGUGCCUGACGCUCGUCUUCGAGUACCUGGAUCGGGACCUCAAGCAGUACCUGGAUGAUUGUGGGAACGUCAUCAGCAUGCACAACGUCAGGGUG